Molecule: long non-coding RNA, 424 nt
Filed under: Medicago truncatula (barrel medic)
Lineage: Eukaryota; Viridiplantae; Streptophyta; Magnoliopsida; Fabales; Fabaceae
Description: long non-coding RNA (MTRU_LNC001729)
Source: RNAcentral
ACGAAUAUUGAAGAGGAUAAUGAAAAGAGAAAAAAAAACUGAUAUUUUUAUAGUUGUUCACCCUUUCUUCCUCACUUCGGGCUACAUCAACUAGUCUUGGUGAAAAACGUCUCCACCAAGGUCAUCCACUAAUAGUAACAAUGUUGAAUACAAAUGUGAUUACAAGAGUUCCUUGGAACAAUCCUAGUUCUUCAACUCCUAUGUAAGCACUUCCUUAAACUUCAAAUAACUUUUGAAUUUGGUGCUUCUUGAAUCUUCGAAUCCUUGAUUACCCAUGCACCCCUUCGAAUUGUUCACUAAAGUCUUCGAUGCUACAUCCGGUAAACGAAUCCUCUUCGAUUGCAAGAAAAAUUAGAAAGACGUCCAAGACUGUUUGGUAUUUGUAUUGGCUGCAUUGUUACUAAAACAAAUAUCCUUGUUUGUG